Molecule: ribosomal RNA, 253 nt
Filed under: uncultured bacterium
Lineage: Bacteria
Description: partial 16S ribosomal RNA
Rfam family: Bacterial small subunit ribosomal RNA
Source: RNAcentral
UACAUGUGGGGCAAGCGUUGUUCGUAAUUACUGGGCAUAAAGGGUGCGUAGGUGGCUUGUUAAGUCAGGGGUGAAAGUUUUCGGCCCAACCGGAAAAUGGCCUUUGAUACUGGCGAGCUCGAGUGCGUGAGGGGUAACCGGAACGAGCAGUGUAGCGGUGAAAUGCGUAGAUAUUGCUCGGAAGGCCAACGGCGAAGGCAGGUUACUGGUGCGCAACUGACACUGAGGCACGAAAGCGUGGGGAGCAAACAGG